GGUAUUAGGAGAAGCAGGCACGCAGCCCUAAAGGCUCCAAGUCUCUGUUCCCAAAGGAAAGCUAGCCCACAUCAGACCUCUCUCCGUCCCAAAUCAGUGCAACAUUAGGCCUGAGGUUGGAAGCAGUAAGUGAAGGAUUCUAAGUAAGUAUUCAAUAACCCGCUUUACCUACAAUACUGAGUUCAUUCAUACAUUCGUGUUUUAAAGGACGACAGCACCCACUCCCCGACCCUUGGCCACUUAGAACAAUCAGGGUGACUGUCCCGGGAGACACUGACGGAUAAACAUUGUGCAAAACCACCCUGCAAGGAUGCCUGAAGGGGUCGUUUGCUCAGUUUUGAGCGGAGGCCAGAGGGCGAGUGAAGGCAGGGGUCUGCUCAGAAUUACAAGUGAGGUUUGAAGCAGCUCUGGCCAACACCUCAAAGAUGUGUCAAGAUUUUAUAUCCAGGAUUUAUCUCGUACAUCACUUACUUUGGCAAUUAAAAACGAAAAAAAAAAAAAAAA
This 504-nucleotide long non-coding RNA is filed under the name Rattus norvegicus (Norway rat). RNAcentral's name for it is "long non-coding RNA NONRATT024486". Lineage: Eukaryota; Metazoa; Chordata; Mammalia; Rodentia; Muridae. The record is from RNAcentral.